UUUAUUCCUGACCUUUAAGACUUCAUUGAAGUCUCGUCCUACAGACCAGUUGGUUGUGAGGUUUUUUGAUAUUGUGAUUAGGUUCUCCCAUAGGAGUUUCUUAUUAGCUAAAGUAUUACUAGCGUAGAUAGCAGAGAAGAGCCAUGGAGGGUGGUUGGGACUUACCUUUACCAUUGCAUGUAUCCUUGGGGGGUGUGACCACCUCUUCAAAUGCCACAAACUCUUAUUUCCACAUGAACAUUAUCCCCCCGAGAUCCCUACUACCGGAGAUGUGAUAAUUAUAUUAAAUUGGAGCUCUUGAGUCAAUUUCUGGUGGUCUGCCAUUUUAGUUUCAAGCAGAACAAGUAUGGUUGGCUUGUGCAUUUUUACCAUUUCUAAACACUGCCUCUUGAAUUUGCCAGUAUUUCCCCCCUAACAUUCCAUAUAAUAUAAUUCAUUAGUGGAGUUGGGGGUGGUUGGUGAGGUCCCUCUUGAGGGUUCCUUGGUGCUUGCGAACACUUCGUUAGAGAUGAGGGGGAUUUCCUCUUGACACUCAGCACUAGGGUUAGAUUCAGUAAGGGCUUGAUAGGUUCAUGGGUUUGUAUGGAGAUCAGACUCAUUCCACACUUGACCAUCGCUCUGGGACAGAGAACAAAUAUCACCUCAUUAGAUUCUGUGCUGAACUCUAUCACUCUCACUGAGUCCAGUAGGAGCGAGUUUAUUCGUGGAGUGGCAUAGGUUGCUCCCUCUUUCUCUGGGGCAUUUUUCUUCUUGAGGAUUUCCAAAGCUUUGGAGAUUACUUUUUUGAUGUUGUGGAGAGGGGGUUGAAAUGCUCUUCUAUCUUGGAGCAGAAGAAGAUGGCUCGUGUUGAGUCUGAUUGUCGAUCGUUAUGAAGCCCAGCUCCAUCGAUGGAUCAUCCUUCGUCAGAUUUGGGAAGAAUAGUAGCAUUUGGAAGCUCUGCAGUAUGUGGUUGCUGAGUGUUUGGGGGUGGGUUAACGGUGAUUUGCUGUCUCUGUUGACCAUCGACUGCCAUAGGAGAGGCCGAAAGGCCGCUAGAGCUUUGCUCAAUGCUUCCACUAUGACUCUAGCUAGGUGAGCUGGAUUUUGCACAAUCAGGGCUACCUUCUAAUUGUCUAGGGUGAAAUUGUAAGAGAGGCCCUGACCCUGAAGAGAAACAUCCAACCAAGAAGUCAGUUGGUGGUCCGGUGGUAGCAGUAGGGAGGUGAUGAUAGUUGUUGCCAUUUCGUUUUCCAUUUUUUUGUUUUUUCGCAUUACUACUUUGGGUAACAAAAGGGAUGAUCUUAAGAGACUGGCUUUCCAUCAGUACUUCCUUUAGUGUCAAAUUAUCGGUCAAUGGAAGGGCUACUAGAAAUCGGAACUAGGGGUGGAUUUAUCAUUAAUUGGGGAUCUAAUGGAAUUGACUACUUAAGUCUUUUCAUCUGGAGAUAGGGAAGAGGGAUACCAGAUAGGAUACUUGAUUGUUGGCAGCGUCUGUUGGUAUUUCCCCAUUAGAGAUUCUUUCAGAAGGAUUGGUAGGGAAAGCGUAUGUCAGUGUAUUUGGAUAGAAAGAUGGGCUGACAAUUGGGGAUUGGGAGUGGUACCCAUUUAGAGAAAAGACCGGCCCCAUUGAGGAAGUUGGAUCCAUAUGGCAGUAGAAGUAAGGAUGGCUUCUUGAGGAACGAAUUUAGGUUCCCAUUUCUGCAUGUACAAGAAAUUUCCAAAGAUGAACCAAGGGCCAAGGUAGAGAGCCUUAACCAUACUCUCUUGUGAACUAGAUUUGACUAUGUAGAAGUCUCAUCCUAGGUCAAUCAAGAUUAAUUGUUCGUAUGACUUCCAUAGUUCAAUUAGUUUAGACCAAAGGAAAUGUUGAGGCAUCUUUCAGUUGAAGACCUUCAUGAUCACGGAAUAACACCAUGGAAGGUAGAGGCAUUUUUUGUCGUCUUGAGAAAAGGGGAUUGAGCCUUCUAUGUGUUUUCCUUUAUCAAAAUAUGAAUUUGGAUGAGAGUCAACUUCAUAGUAAUCUGUUUGAUGCCUCUCCGGUUUAUCCAAGAGCAUUUUCUUAUAGGAGUGGGUUGGUAAUUUUACAUCCAUUUGGUUGUGAUUAUUCUGAGGUUCUGGUGGGAUAGGUGGUUUGAUUAAUGGGGAAUCCAUGUUUGGAAGGUACUGUUUCAGGAGUUGUUUUUAGAGAGAGUUUGAAGUGGAAGUC
Molecule: long non-coding RNA, 2185 nt
Filed under: Nicotiana benthamiana
Lineage: Eukaryota; Viridiplantae; Streptophyta; Magnoliopsida; Solanales; Solanaceae
Description: long non-coding RNA (NBEN_LNC038267)
Source: RNAcentral